CACUCUAAGGAAGCCACCCGCCAGGAGCCUGCCCCCUCUCCGGGUGCAGGUGGACAGGGGUAGAUGCCACAAGACCUGGAGAAGGGCCGAGGGACCAUGCCAGCGUGUGGGCGAAAUGGCGGUCCUGCCUCUAAGACACGUAGCUCCAACCGACGCUGCGGAAUAGCCAGAGUGCAGACACCACGCCAAGCCUUGGCCACCCCCGCCCCCCGCAGCUGCUGGCGUCUGGGUCUGGCUGAUCCCAGGGCAGGAGGAGAGGUUGGGUUUCAGGCUUUGUUCUCAGGCAGCCUCGCCAUUGAUUAAGGCCCGAGGGCAGGUGAACCAGCCUGUGCCUCACCCGGGACUGCAUUCCUCCUCCCGCCUGUGCAGGUGGGGCCCCAGAGGAGCUAGCAGAGCAGGGGGGGCCCUCCUGGCCUCUUGAGGCUGCCUCGACUUUCCCAGGCUGAGCUGGUGGAGGUGAUGAUUAACUAGUCAGGGACCAUGACGCUGGUGGCACUUCCCAGGCUCAGCUGACCAGGAGGGCGCCAGGCAGCCAGGAAACGUCUAUUUCACUUUUCAUUUCUUGACCUGUAGCUUUGGUGCGUUGUCCUGCCCUCAGGCGUCCCUCCCGUUCCCCGCCUUGCCUGGCUCAGCUCUGGUGCCCAUGGGCAGCCUUUGGGUGAGGAGUUUGCUCCAGGGAUGCACAGAUUCUGUGUUCAGUGGGACCCUCCUGUCCACAUCCCUGUGGUCACUUCUGCUGGGGUGCACAGCAAGUGGCCUGACCCCCUGGCUUGUGGUCAAGCCAGCUCUGGGCCCUGCAGUGUCCCCAGCCCCAGAGCUCCCCAGGAAGGUCUGGUCCCAACAGCCAAGGGCACUGGGGACACCAGGCUCUGCCCGAGCCCAUGCAUGGGGAGGCCCGGCCUGUCCACUGGGUGCUAGGGAAUGUGUGGACCCAGCCAGGAGGGACAGAGUCCUCACCCAGCCCCACUGCCGCCCUGGAGGGGGCUGAAGUUCCAGUCCUCAAAAAAGGGUUCCCACAGCUCAGGAAAAAGUAGACUUGUGAGGGUUUUGUUUUAAUAUUCUGUUCUUGUCAGUGGACUUUAUUUUUUUUAUUUAUUUAUGUGCGGUGCUGAGAAUCGAACCCAGUGCCUCACACAUGCGAGGCCAGUGUGCUACCACUGAGCCCCAGCCGCAGCCCUGGAGCUGUGUUCUUGAAGCACUGACUUUCGGGGGUCAGUGAAGCGGAGCUGAAAGAGCAGGAGGAGCAGACGGCCUGUCCUGGGGGAGGUCCCCUGAAAAGCACUGGCCGUGGGGAGGACAAAGUAGAGGGCCAGGUGCACCAGGCAGUGUCUGAGGGCGAGGCGGCCUUUGUUGUGGUCUCUGGGAGCCCUGGGGAAUCAGCACAGGGCUGCAGCCCCCUCUGUGGGUGGAAGGUGCUAAAAACUGGAGAAGCCGCCCCAGCCGGCUCUCCAGGCCCAGGCGGCAGGGUCCGGCCUGGGAGGGUGUGCUCCAGGCUGGCCCUUCCUCAGGCCCCAUGUCCCCCAGGGACAGUAGGCGAGGCCACCAGAGGUCAGGGGGCUGAAGAGCCCCGUCCUGAACACUCCUGUCCUGAAGGUGCCUGGCAUUCUCAGUGUCUUCAGGGCUGCUGUCCCCGUCGACUCUGCAGUCGGACCUCAGAUCAGAGGCAAUGAAUCCUACAGCCGGCCAGGUGCUCCCCUGGGCUCCCCGGCGCCCAGCCCCACCCCACCCUCAGACCAGGGAAGGAGAGACAGACAGACGCACCCACACAGGGACACAGGGGCACAGAGGGCAGUGUGGGCCCCAGUGGGAGGAGGCUGUCCUGCUUCUCUGGGGCCACUGCUGCUCCAUCCCUUGUCCUGUUCUCUUCUGGGUCCUUGAGAAGGGCGAGCGGGGACUGGGCAGGGACACGCUGUGGAGUUGGUGUCUUGGAGACAGAGGCUCAUUGUCCAGUGGCUGCAAACCCCCCAGCCUCAGACACACAUACCAACACACAUACCUGGGACCCUGAGGGGGCUGGACCUGAUGCCCAAGUUUUUCUGUGGAACACCUAAAGGGAGUGGCUAGCUGUGACCUGACCCUGACCGGGUGUUGGUCACCUGGCCUGCUCCACCAGCCCCUGCCUCCCGUCCCUUGUGGCUGUCAGCCUCGAGGUGGGACACCUGGCCCCCACCAGGUGCCCACUGGUGUCCCAAGCACAGAGGCCUCUGCCCUGCCCCACCUGGGGCUGCUCCCCAACACAGUGCCAAAGAGGACAUGGCUCUGCCUCAGGCUGAGGAACAGGUGAUGAGCACCCCCAUCAAGUUCCUGCUUGAACCCCAGCCAGGCGGCCCCCAGACCCAUUCGGGCAGCCGUGGCCAUCUUACUGGGCAGCAUUGGAUGCUGUCUGAUCUCUAAUACUGCCUGGUAAUGAUGACGGCGGAGCCCUGCACGCAGCGAGGGGGCCGCCCCCCCCCCCCGUUGUCCCCUGGGGCCUUUUCUCUCAGCUUGUCCACCCUGUCCUACUUGGGUGGCUUCUGAGUGGGCAGAAAUCUGACCUUGGGGAGGCGUCUCUGAGAGCCCUUCAGGCCUCAGGAUGAAGGCUGCCAGCAGCUGCGUGGGGGGGCACCCCAGCACCCCCCACUGUGUUCUGCGGAUUAGGACACUCAGGUAUCCGGGCCCUGCCCCUGGCGCCCGGGCAGGUGCUGCCACCACACCUGGCAGGUGUGGACUGGGCGGAACAAAGGGCUCUGGAGAGCAAAGGCCCAGCCUGGGCCCAGAAAGCCUCACGCCAGGAGCUGCCACCAGAAUUGGGAGCUGUGUAGUGACCCAGGAAGGGCCACUGGGUCCAGACCCCUCUCCCUUCCUGUGUCCGGGGUGGGCAGGUCAGCUUGCAACCGCCAGCCUUGGUCCCAGGCCAGCAGCCCCAGGUCUCCUUGCUCUGGACAGACAGUGUGGCCUCAGGAUCUCAGGAACUCUCUCUUGCUGGCCUGGUCCAGCCCAGACGCAGCCCUGGCCGCUCACUGUACUGGAUCCUCCACCACCAGCACUCCACCUGGCCUGUAGGAGCUGCAUGGCUUUGGGCCGAGGUGCACCUGGGCCUCUGUGGGCAUCUUACCAGACAGUGCUGGAUUUCUUGGCUCAACUCUAACACUGUCUGGUAACGAUGUUCAAAGGUGACCCACCACUCGCCGGAGAUGGCCCGAGGAUGCGCCAUCCUGAGCUCCUGGACUCCAGAGAGGCGCCAGGCGGGGGAGGACCUAUCAGCUCUGCAGCUGGCAAUCAUCGGGAGCUCGCCUCUGCCCAGGAUGGGCCUCUUCAUGCCAGGGGCUCCCCGUGCCACUAUGGAGCACAGGGCAGGCUCCGUAGCACUGCCCCCACUCUUCCCCUAGGCUGGACUUUGGAGUGAUCUGGGUCCUGGAGAGACCACAGGGGUCCAGAUACUGGGCUGGGUGGGGAGACCUUGUGGGCAAUGGGCUGUUACCCACGUGGGCCCACUGGGGACUGGGGAGGCAGAGUAGGCUCCAUUGGCCUAACUCCACACAGAGGUCCCUGCAGACAUGUCCUGGCUGUUUCCUAACUAAGGACAAGGAGUCUCCGUUCCUCCCCCUGGCAAGAACAGGAACUUUGUCCAAAAUCACAAGCCAGGAUUACCCAUUGUUUUAUCUUUUUGAUCUGAAGCCAGGACUGGGGACUCAGGGCUCGGGGCUCGGGCACCCACCCAGCCUGAGCCCCGGUGGCCUCUCCCUAGGGAGGGGCCGAGGGUCUGCCCUGUGUUCUCCGGUUACUUAUUAACCAACUGGGAGCCACUCUGGAAACCGGCAAGCUGCUGGGGGAGUNCACAGAUUCUGUGUUCAGUGGGACCCUCCUGUCCACAUCCCUGUGGUCACUUCUGCCGGGGUGCACAGCAAGUGGCCUGACCCCCUGGCUUGUGGUCAAGCCAGCUCUGGGCCCUGCAGUGUCCCCAGCCCCAGAGCUCCCCAGGAAGGUCUGGUCCCAACAGCCAAGGGCACUGGGGACACCAGGCUCUGCCCGAGCCCAUGCAUGGGGAGGCCCGGCCUGUCCACUGGGUGCUAGGGAAUGUGUGGACCCAGCCAGGAGGGACAGAGUCCUCACCCAGCCCCACUGCCGCCCUGGAGGGGGCUGAAGUUCCAGUCCUCAAAAAAGGGUUCCCACAGCUCAGGAAAAAGUAGACUUGUGAGGGUUUUGUUUUAAUAUUCUGUUCUUGUCAGUGGACUUUAUUUUUUUUAUUUAUUUAUGUGCGGUGCUGAGAAUCGAACCCAGUGCCUCACACAUGCGAGGCCAGUGUGCUACCACUGAGCCCCAGCCGCAGCCCUGGAGCUGUGUUCUUGAAGCACUGACUUUCGGGGGUCAGUGAAGCGGAGCUGAAAGAGCAGGAGGAGCAGACGGCCUGUCCUGGGGGAGGUCCCCUGAAAAGCACUGGCCGUGGGGAGGACAAAGUAGAGGGCCAGGUGCACCAGGCAGUGUCUGAGGGCGAGGCGGCCUUUGUUGUGGUCUCUGGGAGCCCUGGGGAAUCAGCACAGGGCUGCAGCCCCCUCUGUGGGUGGAAGGUGCUAAAAACUGGAGAAGCCGCCCCAGCCGGCUCUCCAGGCCCAGGCGGCAGGGUCCGGCCUGGGAGGGUGUGCUCCAGGCUGGCCCUUCCUCAGGCCCCAUGUCCCCCAGGGACAGUAGGCGAGGCCACCAGAGGUCAGGGGGCUGAAGAGCCCCGUCCUGAA
This 4712-nucleotide long non-coding RNA is filed under the name Marmota monax (woodchuck). The stretch from base 3082 to 3150 matches the Rfam family "mir-8/mir-141/mir-200 microRNA precursor family". Lineage: Eukaryota; Metazoa; Chordata; Mammalia; Rodentia; Sciuridae. The record is from RNAcentral.